RNAcentral lists this ribosomal RNA (496 nucleotides) under uncultured bacterium. RNAcentral's name for it is "partial 16S ribosomal RNA". It matches the Rfam family "Bacterial small subunit ribosomal RNA", at positions 30 to 523 of the family's 1533-position model. The record is from RNAcentral.
AUUGAACGCUGGCGGAAUGCCUUACACAUGCAAGUCGAACGGUAGAGGGGGCAACCCCUCGAGAGUGGCGAACGGGUGAGUAAUAUAUCGGAACGUGCCCAGUCGUGGGGGAUAACGUAGCGAAAGUUACGCUAAUACCGCAUACGAUCUACGGAUGAAAGCGGGGGAUCGCAAGACCUCGCGCGAUUGGAGCGGCCGAUAUCAGAUUAGGUAGUUGGUGGGGUAAAGGCUUACCAAGCCAACGAUCUGUAGCUGGUCUGAGAGGACGACCAGCCACACUGGAACUGAGACACGGUCCAGACUCCUACGGGAGGCAGCAGUGGGGAAUUUUGGACAAUGGACGCAAGUCUGAUCCAGCCAUUCCGCGUGCAGGAUGAAGGCCCUCGGGUUGUAAACUGCUUUUGUACGGAACGAAAAGGUUUCCAUUAAUACUGGGAGCUCAUGACGGUACCGUAAGAAUAAGCACCGGCUAACUACGUGCCAGCAGCCGCCGUAA